RNAcentral lists this ribosomal RNA (128 nucleotides) under Camarophyllopsis atrovelutina. RNAcentral's name for it is "partial 5.8S ribosomal RNA". It matches the Rfam family "5.8S ribosomal RNA", at positions 33 to 154 of the family's 154-position model. From Rfam's summary of the family: 5.8S ribosomal RNA (5.8S rRNA) is a component of the large subunit of the eukaryotic ribosome. It is transcribed by RNA polymerase I as part of the 45S precursor that also contains 18S and 28S rRNA. Functionally, it is thought that 5.8S rRNA may be involved in ribosome translocation. The record is from RNAcentral. Lineage: Eukaryota; Fungi; Basidiomycota; Agaricomycetes; Agaricales; Clavariaceae.
UUCGAUGAAGAACGCAGCGAAUUGCGAUAUGUAAUGUGAAUUGCAGAAUUCAGUGAAUCAUCGAAUCUUUGAACGCAUAUUGCACCCUCUGGUUAUUCUGGAGGGUAUAUCUGUUUGAGUGUCAUUAA